Molecule: ribosomal RNA, 254 nt
Filed under: uncultured bacterium
Lineage: Bacteria
Description: partial 16S ribosomal RNA
Rfam family: Bacterial small subunit ribosomal RNA
Source: RNAcentral
CACGUAGGGUGCGAGCGUUGUCCGGAAUUAUUGGGCGUAAAGAGCUCGUAGGCGGUGUGUCGCGUCGGCCGUGAAAACCUGCAGCUUAACUGUGGGCUUGCGGUCGAUACGGGCAUCACUGGAGUUCGGCAGGGGAGACUGGAAUUCCUGGUGUAGCAGUGAAAUGCGUAGAUAUCAGGAGGAAUACCGAUGGCGAAGGCAGGUCUCUGGGCUGAAACUGACGCUCAUGCACGAAAGCGUGGGGAGCAAACAGG